GGGGCUGACUGGUUUUGACAGCGGGAUGAAGAGGUGCGUAAGCAUGCCGAGCAUUGGAGGUUGGCUCGUAAAUAUCAAUUUCCACACUCUUAAUUGGCGAAAACAAUUACGCUCUCGCAGCCUAAUCGAAGCAUAGUAGAUAGGCAUUUUCCGGCAUAAGAUGCCGGAACGAGACAUCUCCCGGGUGCUAAAGUCCUGAGGCGGCCCGAACCGGAGGUGCAGAAAAAUCGGGAAUAGUAGGUGGCUCGCUCCGCGCUGCCUGCGAAAUUAAGGGAGCUAAGGUGCCGGUUGGUGGCUUUGAUCCUGCCGACACUCGAAAAUCAAGUCAGAGCUAAGCAUGUAGAAAGCGUAUUGCUUCCUCGUUUGGACCGGGGUUCGAUUCCCCGCAGCUCCACGA
This 397-nucleotide transfer-messenger RNA is filed under the name Prolixibacter denitrificans. RNAcentral describes it as "Standard tmRNA". It matches the Rfam family "transfer-messenger RNA". Rfam says of the family: Bacterial tmRNA, also known as 10Sa RNA or SsrA, is named for its dual tRNA and mRNA-like properties. Its role is to liberate the mRNA from a stalled ribosome. The record is from RNAcentral. Lineage: Bacteria; Pseudomonadati; Bacteroidota; Bacteroidia; Marinilabiliales; Prolixibacteraceae.